This 497-nucleotide ribosomal RNA is filed under the name uncultured bacterium. Its description in RNAcentral is "partial 16S ribosomal RNA". It matches the Rfam family "Bacterial small subunit ribosomal RNA", at positions 28 to 507 of the family's 1533-position model. The record is from RNAcentral.
GAUGAACGCUGGCGGCGUGCCUAACACAUGCAAGUCGAGCGAACAGACGAGGAGCUUGUUCGUUGGUCGUUAGCGGAGGACGGGAGAGUCACAUGUGGAUAACCUACCUAUCUGACUGGGAUAAUCACGGGAAACCGGCGCUUAUACCGGAUAAUAUAUUGCACCGUAUGGUUCAAUAGUGAGAGUCGGUUUUUGUGUCUGUAAUAGCUGGAUCCGCGCUGCAUGAGCUAGUUGGUAAGGUAACGGCUUAUCAAGGCUACGAUGCGUAGCCGACCUGAGAGAGGGGUCGGCCACCCGGGAGCUGAGACAGGGUCCAGACGCCUACGGGAGGCAGCAGUAGCGAAUCGUCCGCAAUGGGCGAAAGCCUUACACAGCAACGCCGCGUGAGUGAUGAAGGUCUCCGGAGCGGAAAGCUCGGUUAUUAGUGAAGAACCAAUGUCGAAGUAGCUGUACACGUCGUGACGGUACCUGAUCAGAAAGCCCCGGCUAACUACGUG